RNAcentral lists this long non-coding RNA (989 nucleotides) under Olea europaea subsp. europaea. The record is from RNAcentral. Lineage: Eukaryota; Viridiplantae; Streptophyta; Magnoliopsida; Lamiales; Oleaceae.
GAAAAACCCUAGCCUUCUUCUCUUUCUUUUCUUUUUUUCUUUCCUCUCCAUUUUUCUUUCUUUUCUUUUUCUUUCUUCUUUUUUUUUUGUCUUCUUUUUCUUGGUAAUUUUUGCGCAAAAUCUAAUAGCACAAGGAGAACACAUUUGGAGGGAAAAUAUUUGGGGAAAAUCAAGAUCAAGCUAUCAAAAACCAAAAUCCAAAAGAGUUUUAUCUUCACUCUUGUAUUUGUCUUCAUAAUUGUUUCCUAUUCGCAAUGUAUUGUAUGGAAUAUUCUCCUUUUUAUUACUUGUAAAAUGGGCUAAGUUAUUUGUGUUGGAAUUUAUGGUUGUAGUUUAAUCUAGCCUUGAUUAAUUUUAAUAUGUGCCCUUUGAUACGUGGUGCAUUGUAAUUGGAAUUGCUUGUUCUCAUGCACUAGUUCAUACACGCCGAAACUUCUGAGGUUUAGAAAAUAUUUGAGGUGUCAAAAACAAGCCAUUAACAAAAAUGAUGAUGGUUACAUGCUCGCGAAAGAUUUGGUGCCUUACAAUUGGGAUAAGGACAUCAACAAGCUUAUGUGAGAUGGUCCUCCCUAAUUAAACAAGAUGGUAUUUGCAAAAUAUUUCAAAAAAUUUGCUUUGUUGGAUGAAAAUGAUAUACUUAUGGAAGAUUACAUGUAUUGGGAAGGAUUUCAACAAUGGGGGUACAAUCUACUUGACGUAGUUAAUGGGACCGACCUCUCAUUGCCCGUAGAAUUGGAUUGCUAACCGGUCAUUCAAUCCGAAAAAUAUAUCCACUAUCAACAAAUAGCUCAAAGAAAAUGACAAUUUAACCACAAAGGGGUCGAAUGAAAAUGUAGCAAGCAAUGAGGAUGAAAGUAAUGUGCAUUUUUCCGACUUCACUGAUUGCAUGAAAAUUGAUUUAUGAUUAAGUUUGAUAAUGUGGUGGAAGUCUAUAUAGUUGGAUUUGAAUCGGAUGGAAUAGGCAAGUCCUAUUAUAUGGAAAUAGGCAG